GAUGAAGAACGCAGCGAAAUGCGAUAAGUAAUGUGAAUUGCAGAAUUCAGUGAGUCAUCGAAUCUUUGAACGCACAUUGCGCCCGCCAGUAUUCUGGCGGGCAUGCCUGUUCGAGCGUCAUUUCAACCAUCAAGCCCCAGGCUUGUGUUGGAGCCCUGCGGCUGCCGCAGCCUCCCAAAACCAGUGGCGGGCUCGCUAUCACACCGAGUGCAGUAGUUUACUCUUCGCUCAGGGCGUGUGGCGGGUGCUAGCCGUAAAACCCCCAACUUCUCAAGGUUGACCUCGGAUCAGGUAGGAAUACCCGCUGAACUUAAGCAUAUCAAUAAGCGGAGGA
Molecule: unclassified non-coding RNA, 334 nt
Filed under: soil metagenome
Description: partial contains 5.8S ribosomal RNA, internal transcribed spacer 2, and large subunit ribosomal RNA
Rfam family: 5.8S ribosomal RNA (bases 1-120)
Source: RNAcentral